AAAGGAAUAGACGGGGGCCCGCACAAGCAGCGGAGCAUGUGGUUUAAUUCGAAGCAACGCGAAGAACCUUACCAGGGCUUGACAUCCCUCUGACGGGACUAGAGAUAGUCCUUUCUCUUUUGAGACAGAGGAGACAGGUGGUGCAUGGUUGUCGUCAGCUCGUGUCGUGAGAUGUUGGGUUAAGUCCCGCAACGAGCGCAACCCUUAUCAUUAGUUGCCAGCACGUUAAGGUGGGGACUCUAAUGAGACUGCCGGGGAUAACCCGGAGGAAGGUGGGGACGACGUCAAAUCAUCAUGCCCCUUAUGUCCUGGGCUACACACGUGCUACAAUGGCCAGUACAGAGGGAAGCGAAGCGGUGACGCGGAGCAAAUCCCAAAAAGCUGGUCCCAGUUCGGAUUGUGGGCUGCAACUCGCCCACAUGAAGUCGGAGUUGCUAGUAAUCGCGAAUCAGCAUGUCGCGGUGAAUACGUUCCCGGGCCUUGUACACACCGCCCGU
Molecule: ribosomal RNA, 497 nt
Filed under: uncultured bacterium
Lineage: Bacteria
Description: bacterial SSU rRNA
Rfam family: Bacterial small subunit ribosomal RNA
Source: RNAcentral